UACGUAGGGGGCAAGCGUUGUCCGGAUUUAUUGGGCGUAAAGAGCGUGUAGGCGGCCAGAUAGGUCCGUUGUGAAAACUCGAGGCUCAACCUCGAGACGCCGAUGGAAACCAUUUGGCUAGAGUCCGGAAGAGGAGAGUGGAAUUCCUGGUGUAGCGGUGAAAUGCGCAGAGAUCAGGAGGAACACCCGUAGCGAAGGCGGCACUCUGGGCCGUGACUGACGCUGAGGAGCGAAAGCGUGGGUAGCGAACAGG
RNAcentral lists this ribosomal RNA (253 nucleotides) under uncultured bacterium. RNAcentral's name for it is "partial 16S ribosomal RNA". It matches the Rfam family "Bacterial small subunit ribosomal RNA", at positions 524 to 776 of the family's 1533-position model. The record is from RNAcentral.